Molecule: ribosomal RNA, 261 nt
Filed under: uncultured bacterium
Lineage: Bacteria
Description: partial 16S ribosomal RNA
Rfam family: Bacterial small subunit ribosomal RNA
Source: RNAcentral
GUCCACGCCGUAAACGAUGAUAACUAGAUGUUGGGGAGUUGACCCCUCAGUAUCGCAGCUCACGCAUUAAGUUAUCCGCCUGGGGAGUACGGCCGCAAGGCUAAAACUCAAAGGAAUUGACGGGGCCCGCACAAGAGGUGGAGUAUGUGGUUUAAUUCGACGCAACGCGAAGAACCUUACCUGGGCUUGACAUCCUCUGAAUACGGUAGAGAUAUCGUAGUCCCGCAAGGGACAGGGAGACAGGUGCUGCAUGGCUGUCGU